GGGUUGGGCUGUUCGCCCAUUAAAGUGGUACGCGAGCUGGGUUCAGAACGUCGUGAGACAGUUCGGUCCCUAUCCGUCGCAGGCGUAGGAAAUUUGAGAAGACCUGUCCUUAGUACGAGAGGACCGGGAUGGACGUACCUCUGGUGUACCAGUUGUCCUGCCAAGGGCAUGGCUGGGUAGCUAUGUACGGAAUGGAUAAGCGCUGAAAGCAUCUAAGCGCGAAGCCAACUUCAAGAUAAGAUUUCCCACCGCAAGGGUAAGACCCCAGAAAGACUAUCUGGUUGAUAGGUCGAAGGUGUAAGUGCAGCAAUGUAUUUAGCUUAUCGAUACUAAUAGGUCGAGGACUUGACCAAU
This 354-nucleotide ribosomal RNA is filed under the name Clostridioides difficile. RNAcentral's name for it is "partial 23S ribosomal RNA". It matches the Rfam family "Bacterial large subunit ribosomal RNA", at positions 2569 to 2925 of the family's 2925-position model. The record is from RNAcentral. Lineage: Bacteria; Bacillati; Bacillota; Clostridia; Peptostreptococcales; Peptostreptococcaceae.